This 391-nucleotide ribosomal RNA is filed under the name Saururus cernuus (lizard's tail). RNAcentral's name for it is "28S ribosomal RNA". It matches the Rfam family "Eukaryotic large subunit ribosomal RNA", at positions 751 to 1821 of the family's 3401-position model. Lineage: Eukaryota; Viridiplantae; Streptophyta; Magnoliopsida; Piperales; Saururaceae. The record is from RNAcentral.
GGUUGCACCGUCGACCGACCUUGAUCUUCUGAGAAGGGUUCNNGUGAGAGCAUGCCUGUCGGGACCCNAAAGAUGGUGAACUAUGNNUGAGCGGGGCGNNGCCAGAGGAAACUCUGGUGGAGGCCCGCNGCKGUACUGACGUGCAAAUCGUUCGUCUGACUUGNGNNUAGGGGCGAAAGACUAAUCGAACCAUGAACCGGGACGUGGCGGCUGACGGCAACGUUAGGAAGUCCGGAGACGUCGGCGGGGGCCUCGGGAAKAGUUAUCUUUUCUGUUUAACAGCCUGCCCACCCUGGAAACGGCUCAKCCKGAGUUAGGGUCCAKCGGCUGGAAGAGCACCGCACGUCGCGUGGUGUCCGGUGCCCCCGGCGGCCCUUGAAAAUCCGGAGGA